This 493-nucleotide ribosomal RNA is filed under the name uncultured bacterium. RNAcentral's name for it is "partial 16S ribosomal RNA". It matches the Rfam family "Bacterial small subunit ribosomal RNA", at positions 29 to 523 of the family's 1533-position model. The record is from RNAcentral.
AUUGAACGCUGGCGGCAUGCUUUACACGUGCAAGUCGAACGGUAACAGGUUAAGCUGACGAGUGGCGAACGGGUGAGUAAUGCAUCGGAACGUGCCCGGUCGUGGGGGAUAACGCAGCGAAAGCUGCGCUAAUACCGCAUACGAUCUGAGGAUGAAAGCGGGGGACCGUAAGGCCUCGCGCGAUCGGAGCCGCCGAUGUCGGAUUAGGGAGUUGGUGGGGUAAAGGCCCACCAAGCCGACGAUCUGUAGCUGGUCUGAGAGGACGACCAGCCACACUGGGACUGAGACACGGCCCAGACUCCUACGGGAGGCAGCAGUGGGGAAUUUUGGACAAUGGGCGAAAGCCUGAUCCAGCAAUGCCGCGUGCAGGAAGAAGGCCUUCGGGUUGUAAACUGCUUUUGUACGGAGCGAAAAGGUCCUUUCUAAUACAAGGGGCUCAUGACGGUACCGUAAGAAUAAGCACCGGCUAACUACGUGCCAGCCGCCGCCGUAA